RNAcentral lists this ribosomal RNA (1399 nucleotides) under Streptomyces sp. GC420. RNAcentral's name for it is "partial 23S ribosomal RNA". It matches the Rfam family "Bacterial large subunit ribosomal RNA", at positions 1554 to 2925 of the family's 2925-position model. Lineage: Bacteria; Bacillati; Actinomycetota; Actinomycetes; Kitasatosporales; Streptomycetaceae. The record is from RNAcentral.
GGGUGAGACCUGAUGCCGAGCCGAUUGUGGUGAAGUGGAUGAUCCUAUGCUGUCGAGAAAAGCCUCUAGCGAGUUUCAUGGCGGCCCGUACCCUAAACCGACUCAGGUGGUCAGGUAGAGAAUACCGAGGCGUUCGGGUGAACUAUGGUUAAGGAACUCGGCAAAAUGCCCCCGUAACUUCGGGAGAAGGGGGGCCACGUCCGGUGAUGAGCUUCGCGCUCUGAGCUGGGGGUGGCCGCAGAGACCAGCGAGAAGCGACUGUUUACUAAAAACACAGGUCCGUGCGAAGCCGUAAGGCGAUGUAUACGGACUGACGCCUGCCCGGUGCUGGAACGUUAAGGGGACCGGUUAGUCACUCUUCGGGGUGGCGAAGCUGAGAACUUAAGCGCCAGUAAACGGCGGUGGUAACUAUAACCAUCCUAAGGUAGCGAAAUUCCUUGUCGGGUAAGUUCCGACCUGCACGAAUGGCGUAACGACUUCUCGACUGUCUCAACCAUAGGCCCGGUGAAAUUGCACUACGAGUAAAGAUGCUCGUUUCGCGCAGCAGGACGGAAAGACCCCGGGACCUUUACUACAGUUUGAUAUUGGUGUUCGGUUCGGCUUGUGUAGGAUAGGUGGGAGACUUUGAAGCUCAAGCGCCAGCUUGGGUGGAGUCGUCGUUGAAAUACCACUCUGGUCGUGCUGGAUGUCUAACCUGGGUCCGUGAUCCGGAUCAGGGACAGUGUCUGAUGGGUAGUUUAACUGGGGCGGUUGCCUCCUAAAGGGUAACGGAGGCGCCCAAAGGUUCCCUCAGCCUGGUUGGCAAUCAGGUGUUGAGUGUAAGUGCACAAGGGAGCUUGACUGUGAGACCGACGGGUCGAGCAGGGACGAAAGUCGGGACUAGUGAUCCGGCGGUGGCUUGUGGAAGCGCCGUCGCUCAACGGAUAAAAGGUACCCCGGGGAUAACAGGCUGAUCUUCCCCAAGAGUCCAUAUCGACGGGAUGGUUUGGCACCUCGAUGUCGGCUCGUCGCAUCCUGGGGCUGGAGUCGGUCCCAAGGGUUGGGCUGUUCGCCCAUUAAAGCGGUACGCGAGCUGGGUUUAGAACGUCGUGAGACAGUUCGGUCCCUAUCCGCUGUGCGCGUAGGAGUCUUGAGAAGGGCUGUCCCUAGUACGAGAGGACCGGGACGGACGAACCUCUGGUGUGCCAGUUGUCCUGCCAAGGGCAUGGCUGGUUGGCUACGUUCGGGAGGGAUAACCGCUGAAAGCAUCUAAGCGGGAAGCCUGCUUCGAGAUGAGGACUCCCACCCACUUGAUGGGGUAAGGCUCCCAGUAGACGACUGGGUUGAUAGGCCGGAUAUGGAAGCCAGGUAACUGGUGGAGUUGACCGGUACUAAUAGGCCGAGGGCUUGUCCUCAGUUG